UCGAGAAUCUUCGGCAAUGGGCGCAAGCCUGACCGAGCGACGUCGCGUGGAGGACGAAGGCCUUCGGGUUGUAAACUCCUGUCGAGGGGGAGAAAGGUCGCGCAAGCGGCUUGAUCGAUCCCUGGAGGAAGCACGGGCUAAGUUCGUGCCAGCAGCCGCGGUAAGACGAACCGUGCGAACGUUAUUCGGAAUCACUGGGCUUAAAGCGCGUGUAGGCGGAUUGGUGCGUCGGCGCCUGAAAUCCCCCGGCUCAACCGGGGAACGCGGCACGAAACGGCCAGUCUGGAGGGACGUAGGGGGGACUGGAACUUCCGGUGGAGCGGUGAAAUGCGUUGAGAUCGGAAGGAACGCCCGUGGCGAAAGCGAGUCCCUGGACGUCGACUGACGCUGAGUCACGAAAGCGUGGGGAGCAAACA
This 416-nucleotide ribosomal RNA is filed under the name uncultured bacterium. RNAcentral's name for it is "bacterial SSU rRNA". It matches the Rfam family "Bacterial small subunit ribosomal RNA", at positions 355 to 774 of the family's 1533-position model. The record is from RNAcentral.